GACGAACGCUGGCGGCGUGCUUAACACAUGCAAGUCGUACGGUAAGGCCCUUUCGGGGGUCCACGAGUGGCGAACGGGGGAGUAACACGUGAGUAACCUGCCCACAACUUUGGGAUAACGCUAGGAAACUGGUGCUAAUACUGGAUAUGUGCUCCUGCUGCAUGGUGGGGGUUGGAAAGCUCCGGCGGUUGUGGAUGGAGUCGCGGCCUAGCAGAGUGUUGGUGGGGUAGUGGCCUACCAAGGCGGCGACGGGUAGCCGGCGCUAGAGGGUGACCGGCAACAGUGGGACUGAGACACGGACCAGACUCAGACGGCAGGCAGAGGUGGCGAAUAUUAAAAAAUGGGCGCAAGCCUGAUGCAGAAACGCCGCGGGCGGGAUGACGGCCUUCGGGUUGGAAUCCGAUUGCAGCAGGGACGAAGCUUUUUGUGACGGUACCUGCAGAAGAAGCACCGGCUAACUACGUG
Molecule: ribosomal RNA, 465 nt
Filed under: uncultured bacterium
Lineage: Bacteria
Description: partial 16S ribosomal RNA
Rfam family: Bacterial small subunit ribosomal RNA
Source: RNAcentral